This is a long non-coding RNA of Triticum dicoccoides, 1159 nucleotides long. RefSeq lists it as uncharacterized. The transcript has 2 exons. NCBI's taxonomy places the organism in Eukaryota, Viridiplantae, Streptophyta, Magnoliopsida, Poales, Poaceae. The record is from RefSeq and is a predicted model, not a curated record.
CAGCCGCCGCGCCGCCCCGGCCCUCGGAUCCGGCCACCGCGCCGCCUCCUUCCCCCGGAUCCGGCCUCCACGACGCCUCCUUCCCCGGAUCCAGUCCCACCGCCACCUAUUGCCACCACAUGCCACCGCCAUGUCGGAUCCCGCCGCCUGGCCGUCCGCUGGGCCACCCUCCACCGCCGUUCGUCAGGCCGCGAAGCACCCUCCCCGCAACCCCUACGCCGCCGCUCCCCACUACCCCUAGCUCUCGGUGUGCCGCCCCCGCUACCCCUUGCUGUCUGCGCCGCCGCCCUGGCACUACCUCCGGCGACGCCGCCGCCCCAACCUCUGGCGCUGCUGCCGCCCCAACAUCCGGCGCCAUCUCUCCCCCGCCCAAACUCCCUCCCCCUGGAUCCACAGCGGCGGCGGACUCCCUCGGAUCCACGGCGGCGGCGGACAACCUUCCCCUGGAUCCACCGCCACGACGCCCUCCCUCCCGAGCUCUACUGGCAAACCACCAGCCAUCAACCUCCCACGAGCACCUCCUUUCCUUUGCUCCAACCGGGCCACCGCUGCUGCACCACCCGCCCAGACACCGUAGCUCCUCCUCCAUGAAUACAUCACGGAUGGCUACCUGCUCAACGACGGCGCCAACCUAACUCUGACCAUGGCGACGGCCGACAGACGCCAGUGUUGCAAGCCUGUCUUCUUUGAUCGGAAGACGCUCUAGUUUAGCAAGCAUCAACAACACAAAAAGAGAGAGGAAGAAAAAUGGAUGUCAGGCUCAUCUCUGGAGUGUUUGCAAUCCUUUUCAUGCUAGGUGUUUAUGUAAAUGAACCAGCGUGCUCAUGCAUGCCUAUGGAAGUUGAAAGGAAACAAAUGUUCCAGGAUCACUAUCAGCAUAUAUUUUCUAAAUGUCAACCUGGAGAAAACGCGAUGGCCGUUUGUGUAUAUGUCUCAAACAAAAAAGUGUGUUUUUUGUAGCAUUUUACCCUGUCUUGUUGCAUCCUCUCUCUUUGGUUACAGGAGAAGUUCAUAUACAGCGACAACAGCAAAGUUCAUGUUAGAAAAAUUGAAGUCCAUCUAUAUGGAAGUUCAUAAUUGUUGUGUGCAUGCAGGCGAGCACAAAAAAACUUGUAGCUGAUAAAUUUUCCUUUUGUUUAACUGCAGCAAUCUUUCUUGA